CCACAAGCAGCGGCGCAUGUGUUUAAUUCGAUGCUACACGAAGAACCUUACCUGGGCUUGACAUGUAUGUAGAAAAAGAUAGAAAUAUCUUUCCUCUAAGGUUUUACCUUAGACACAUACACAGGUGCUGCAUGGUUGUCGUCAGCUCGUGUCGUGAGAUGUAAGGUUAAGUCCUUGAACGAGCGCAACCCCUGCCCUUAGUUGCUAACAGGUAAUGCUGAGGACACUAAGGGGACUGCCGUCGACAAGACGGAGGAAGGUGGGAUGACGUCAAAUCCUCAUGGCCUUUAUGUCCAGGGCCACACACAUGCGACAAUGGUGAGGACAAUGGGAUGCAAAAGGGUAACCUAGAGCAAAUCCUCAAAACUCACCCCAGUACCGAUUGAGGACUGCAACUCGUCCUCAUGAAGCUGGAGUUGCUAGUAACUGUGAGUCAGCUAUAUCACAGUGAAUACGUUCCCGGGUUU
Molecule: ribosomal RNA, 467 nt
Filed under: uncultured Caldisericales bacterium
Lineage: Bacteria; Pseudomonadati; Caldisericota; Caldisericia; Caldisericales
Description: bacterial SSU rRNA
Rfam family: Bacterial small subunit ribosomal RNA
Source: RNAcentral